This 109-nucleotide non-coding RNA is filed under the name bovine gut metagenome. Its description in RNAcentral is "FMN riboswitch (RFN element)". It matches the Rfam family "FMN riboswitch aptamer (RFN element)". Rfam says of the family: The RFN element is a highly conserved domain that is found frequently in the 5'-untranslated regions of prokaryotic mRNAs that encode for flavin mononucleotide (FMN) biosynthesis and transport proteins. This element is a metabolite-dependent riboswitch that directly binds FMN in the absence of proteins. The record is from RNAcentral.
CUCUUCAGGGCGGGGUGAAAGUCCCCACCGGCGGUGACAGUCCGCGAGCCGAAAGGCAUGAACCGGUGCAAUUCCGGUACCGACGGUAUAGUCCGGAUGAAAGAAGAUG